RNAcentral lists this transfer RNA (75 nucleotides) under Akkermansiaceae bacterium. Its description in RNAcentral is "tRNA-Met". It matches the Rfam family "tRNA". From Rfam's summary of the family: Transfer RNA (tRNA) molecules are approximately 80 nucleotides in length. Their secondary structure includes four short double-helical elements and three loops (D, anti-codon, and T loops). Lineage: Bacteria; Pseudomonadati; Verrucomicrobiota; Verrucomicrobiia; Verrucomicrobiales; Akkermansiaceae. The record is from RNAcentral.
GGCUGCAUAGCUCAGGGGUAGAGCGGAGGAUUCAUAAGCCUUAGGUCGGUGGUUCAAAUCCACCUGUAGCUACCA